This 72-nucleotide transfer RNA is filed under the name Penaeus vannamei (Pacific white shrimp). RNAcentral's name for it is "Litopenaeus vannamei (Pacific white shrimp) tRNA". It matches the Rfam family "tRNA". Rfam says of the family: Transfer RNA (tRNA) molecules are approximately 80 nucleotides in length. Their secondary structure includes four short double-helical elements and three loops (D, anti-codon, and T loops). Further hydrogen bonds mediate the characteristic L-shaped molecular structure. tRNAs have two regions of fundamental functional importance: the anti-codon, which is responsible for specific mRNA codon recognition, and the 3' end, to which the tRNAs corresponding amino acid is attached (by aminoacyl-tRNA synthetases). tRNAs cope with the degeneracy of the genetic code in two manners: having more than one tRNA (with a specific anti-codon) for a particular amino acid; and 'wobble' base-pairing, i.e. permitting non-standard base-pairing at the 3rd anti-codon position. Lineage: Eukaryota; Metazoa; Arthropoda; Malacostraca; Decapoda; Penaeidae. The record is from Rfam by way of RNAcentral.
GAUUCUAUGGUGUAGUGGUUAGCACGGUCGCCUCCUACGCGAUAGACUCGGGUUCGAACCCCGAUGGAGACU